Molecule: ribosomal RNA, 460 nt
Filed under: uncultured bacterium
Lineage: Bacteria
Description: partial 16S ribosomal RNA
Rfam family: Bacterial small subunit ribosomal RNA
Source: RNAcentral
CCUACGGGAGGCAGCAGUGAGGAAUAUUGGUCAAUGGACGAGAUUCUGAACCAGCCAAGUAGCGUGAAGGAUGACUGCCCUAUGGGUUGUAAACUUCUUUUAUAAAGGAAUAAAACGAGGCACGUGUGCCUUUUUGCAUGUACUUUAUGAAUAAGGAUAGGCUAAGUCCGUGCCAGCAGCCGCGGUAAUACGGAGGAUCCGAGCGUUAUCCGGAUUUAUUGGGUUUAAAGGGAGCGUAGAUGGGUUGUUAAGUCAGUUGUGAAAUUUUGCGGCUCAACCGUAAAAUUGCAAUUGAUACUGGCAGUCUUGAGUACAGUUGAGGUAGGCGGAAUUCGUGGUGUAGCGGUGAAAUGCUUAGAUAUCACGAAGAACCCCGAUUGCGAAGGCAGCUUACUAAACUGUGACUGACAUUGAUGCUCGAAAGUGUGGGUAUCAAACAGGAUUAGAUACCCUGGUAGUC